Molecule: long non-coding RNA, 344 nt
Filed under: Gossypium barbadense (sea-island cotton)
Lineage: Eukaryota; Viridiplantae; Streptophyta; Magnoliopsida; Malvales; Malvaceae
Description: long non-coding RNA (GBAR_LNC007533)
Source: RNAcentral
UUGUCUCGAUUUCAUACUAUUUCGUAUUUAAGCUUUAUUCACUAAAGUCUUUGAAAUAUCAUCUUUAUGCAAAUAACACACAUGAGGUACAUAAUUCCGUAGUUAUAAAUGAACACAUUUAUCAAACAUAUUCCAUGUUUUUAUAUAUAUAUCAUAGUCUCAAAUUUACAUGUAUCAAUUACCAUCACUUCCUCGUAUUUCAGACAAAUACGUGUAACAAUUCAUAAAUAUGCAAUUCACUAACUCUUCCUGCCAAUCACGAUUUAAAUUGCCAAAUCACUUAUUGAGCCCAAUUUCAAUGUACACUAAAAUCUAUCAUAUAAAUUUGGAUGUACGUAUUCAUC